AGAGUCUCAAGACUUUAGGGGAGAAUAACAUAACUCAUUUCCUCAUAUUCAUUUAAAAUCUAAAAAGCCUUAAAUUCUUGAUUUGAGUAAUAAAAAUAGAAUCUAAGCAAAGCCGAGUCAUGUAAUCAUUUACUCCAACCACAUUUUCAAAACCAUCUCGUUCACUUAAACCAAAACCAAUUUCAAUCCCUUGAUAAAAAUCUAAAGCGUUUCCAACAGCUCGGAAAUCAUUUUUGUUUUGCUAAACCGGAAUUCAAGGGAUACUUUAAAACUUAUCUAAAACGUAAAAAAAAAUGAGAUUUGUCAAUCGAAACCCAACUUCUUUUAAAGUCACUAAAACUCUUCCAAGUGACAAUCUUUAAAUUAAAUUAAAAAAAAAAAACAUAAACCCUUUUCACCUUUAAAACAGCCUUAAAUCAUAAUUCUCUUUUCAAUAAUUCUUUUCAAAACAUAGAUGAUCCAAGUAAAGAUAAUAAAAGUCUUAAAUUCAUAAUCCUCCAAGUAAAAUAGUAAAGGCAUUAAAUUCAUAAUUUUCCAAACAACCAUUCAAAUAAAGACUCGGAUUUUGUAGGAAUUUCAGCAGCAUCUCCUCUAAAACUUGGACUUUGCCAUCCUUUCUGGGUCCCAACCAAACCAUUUCGCAACCCUCUUUAACAGGUUUCAAAACCAAAUCAAUUAAAGCAAAACCAUACUGAAUCCAAAAGUGUAUUCCAUUUUUACAUUUUCAAGAAAAUCAACUCAAACUCAAAUCAAUAUCCAAUGGAUUAAACUCGAUUUCAAGUCUUUAAAAAGAAGCAAUUUCAAAAAUAUCCCGCUUCGCAAAACUGAACAAUAAUCCAGUAAAACAAACAUUCGUAUUCAUUCAAGACAACCAAACAAUACAUAAGACUUAUACAAUCACCAAAUAUACAUUUUCUCCCAUCAAUAUCCAUAUAUAAUAAUUCCAAUUUACAAAGUAUAAUUUU
Arachis ipaensis is the source of this 965-nucleotide non-coding RNA. The record is from RefSeq and is a predicted model, not a curated record. Lineage: Eukaryota; Viridiplantae; Streptophyta; Magnoliopsida; Fabales; Fabaceae.